Molecule: long non-coding RNA, 322 nt
Organism: Protopterus annectens (West African lungfish)
Lineage: Eukaryota; Metazoa; Chordata; Ceratodontiformes; Protopteridae
Exons: 4
Source: RefSeq, a predicted model, not a curated record
UGAGUGUCACUUUCCAAAGAGAAGAAAAUUGAUCUUUUCAAAAGGGGAUACGAAUACAAAUCUAGACAUCUCAAAUCAGACUUUUUUCAUCUGAAAAGGAAAAUUGUUUUGUUGUGUGAUUGAAGCAUGGGACCACCAAAACUUGGUUCCUCGUUGCUGGCAAAGAAACUGGAUUGUUUUCUUCUUCUCCUUCUGGUCUGUUGCGCAUUCAUUAUCCCUCCUGCUCAACAAUCUAGUCCAACAACAGCGACCACACCAGCAACCACACCUCAGACCACCACUACGAUUAUUACUGCAACAACUACUCCUGCAACAACCAUCC